CAGAGGGUGCAAGCGUUGUUCGGAAUUACUGGGCGUAAAGCGCGCGCAGGCGGAUCCUGCAAGUCAGAAGUGAAAUCUCACUGCUCAACGGUGAGGCUGCUUUUGAUACUGCGGAUCUGGAGACCGGUAGAGGCUGGUAGAAUUGCAGGUGUAGCGGUGGAAUGCGUAGAGAUCUGCAAGAAUACCCGUGGCGAAGGCGGCCAGCUGGGCCGGUUCUGACGCUGAGGCGCGAAAGCGUGGGGAGCAAACAGGAUUAGAUACCCUGGUAGUCCACGCCGUAAACGAUGGGCACUAGGUGCUGGGGGGAGCGACCCCGUCAGUGCCGUAGCUAACGCGAUAAGUGCCCCGCCUGGGGAGUACGGCCGCAAGGCUG
RNAcentral lists this ribosomal RNA (373 nucleotides) under uncultured organism. RNAcentral describes it as "bacterial SSU rRNA". It matches the Rfam family "Bacterial small subunit ribosomal RNA", at positions 526 to 896 of the family's 1533-position model. The record is from RNAcentral.